GGUACUCUGGCCGAGUGGUCUAAGGCGCCAGGUCGAGGUCCUGGUCUCUUCGGAGGCGCGGGUUCGAACCCCGCGGGUAUCA
RNAcentral lists this transfer RNA (82 nucleotides) under Nakaseomyces glabratus. RNAcentral describes it as "tRNA-Leu (GAG) (tRNA-Leu-GAG-1-1)". It matches the Rfam family "tRNA". Rfam says of the family: Transfer RNA (tRNA) molecules are approximately 80 nucleotides in length. Their secondary structure includes four short double-helical elements and three loops (D, anti-codon, and T loops). The record is from RNAcentral. Lineage: Eukaryota; Fungi; Ascomycota; Saccharomycetes; Saccharomycetales; Saccharomycetaceae. RNAcentral also lists the same sequence under 1 other name.